AGAGUUUGAUCCUGGCUCAGGACGAACGCUGGCGGCGUGCUUAACACAUGCAAGUCAAGGAGAACGGAUUCUUCGGGAUACAAGUAAACUGGCGAACGGGUGAGUAACACGUAGGUAAUCUACCCUAGAGAUUGGGAUAACUCCGGGAAACCGGAGCUAAUACUGAAUAAUACAGCGGAUCCUUUGGGAUAUGUUGUUAAAGCGGGCUUUUGCUCGCACUCUAGGAUGAGCCUGCGUCCGAUUAGCUUGUUGGUGGGGUAAUGGCCUACCAAGGCGAUGAUCGGUAGCUGUCUGAGAGGAUGAUCAGCCACACUGGGAUUGAGAUACGGCCCAAACUCCUACGGGAGGCAGCAGUAGGGAAUCUUGCACAAUGGAGGAAACUCUGAUGCAGCGAUGCCGCGUGAGUGAAGAAGGCCUUUGGGUUGUAAAGCUCUUUCGUCGAGGAAGAAAAUGACUGUACCCGAAUAAGAAGGUCCGGCUAACUUCGUGCCAGCAGCCGCGGUAAUACGAAGGGACCUAGCGUAGUUCGGAAUUACUGGGCUUAAAGAGUUCGUAGGUGGUUAAAAUAGUUGGUGGUGAAAUCCCAGAGCUUAACUCUGGAACUGCCAUCAAAACUUUUUAGCUAGAGUAUGAUAGAGGAAAGCAGAAUUUCUAGUGUAGAGGUGAAAUUCGUAGAUAUUAGAAAGAAUACCGAUUGCGAAGGCAGCUUUCUGGAUCAUUACUGACACUGAGGAACGAAAGCAUGGGUAGCGAAGAGGAUUAGAUACCCUCGUAGUCCAUGCCGUAAACGAUGUGUGUUAGACGUUGGAAAUUUAUUUUCAGUGUCGCAGCGAAAGCGAUAAACACACCGCCUGGGGAGUACGACCGCAAGGUUAAAACUCAAAUGAAUUGACGGGGACCCGCACAAGUAGUGGAGCAUGUGGUUUAAUUCGAAGAUACGCGCAGAACCUUACCAACACUUGACAUGUUCGUCGCGACUCUAAGAGAUUAGAGUUUUCGGUUCGGCCGGACGAAACACAGGUGCUGCAUGGCUGUCGUCAGCUCGUGUCGUGAGAUGUUGGGUUAAGUCCCGCAACGAGCGCAACCCUCACUUUUAGUUGCCAUCAUUAAGUUGGGCACUCUGAAAGAACUGCCAGUGAUAAGCUGGAGGAAGGUGGGGAUGACGUCAAGUCCUCAUGGCCCUUACGUGUUGGGCUACACACGUGCUACAAUGGCAUCUACAACAGGAAGCAAAACGGCAACGUUAAGCAAAUCCCGAAAAGAUGCCUCAGUUCGGAUUGCACUCUGCAACUCGAGUGCAUGAAGCUGGAAUUACUAGUAAUCGCGGAUCAGCGCGCCGCGGUGAAUACGUUCCCGGGUCUUGUACACACCGCCCGUCACACCAUGGGAGUUGGUUCUACCUUAAGGCAAAGUUUAAAACCUUUGACCACGGUAUAGUCAGCGACUGGGGUGAAGUCGUAACAAGGUAACC
This 1471-nucleotide ribosomal RNA is filed under the name uncultured Alphaproteobacteria bacterium. RNAcentral's name for it is "partial 16S ribosomal RNA". It matches the Rfam family "Bacterial small subunit ribosomal RNA". Lineage: Bacteria; Pseudomonadati; Pseudomonadota; Alphaproteobacteria. The record is from RNAcentral.